This is a non-coding RNA of Nematostella vectensis (starlet sea anemone), 82 nucleotides long. NCBI's taxonomy places the organism in Eukaryota, Metazoa, Cnidaria, Anthozoa, Actiniaria, Edwardsiidae. The record is from Rfam.
GUUGCGGUGGCCGAGUGGUUAAGGCGUUGGACUAGAAAUCCAAUGGGAUCUUCCCGCGCAGGUUCGAAUCCUGCCCGCAAUG